UUUACUUUAUUGUUGAAUUAUUAUGGUAAUUGUGUGACGAAUGAAACUAGGAACAUUAUGAUUCUUCAAAUUAUAGAUGUCUGACUUAACAUUUCUGUUAUUUCAUUGCUGAUUCUAUUUGAUUCAGUUACUAAUAUACCUAACCUUCACUAGGUUUUGUGUUAGUUUAGUGAUAGGAUAAUUCUGAUGUUGCUAUAUAUGUUUAAGAGGCUGAUUUCAUUUUUCCAUGACUGCUGACCCAUAGAAAAGCUAUUACAAUUUACUUUUGUUAGAAGAGUAAGCAAUUGGUCUGGUGAUGGUCUUACUGACAAUUGAAAAGUAGCCAUAAUAGCUUGUGGUGUUAUUGCAGAAGCAUUUAGUUUGAACUUUGCUGGGAAUAAUUUCAUUUUAAAGUAACUGCCGUACAAGCUAAAGAUUGCCCAAUUAUUCUGCAAUGGAGCAGACUCUUGUUGGCUUUUAAUUUCAUAACAAGUUAUUAUCUUCUUACAAUGCAAUUGUCCUUUGCCCUAAGGGGCUGGCAACACUAGUGCUUCUUAGGGGUUGCUUAGCUUCAAGAGUCGAGACUGAGGAAAAGCUGUGAAAUCUUUUGUGAUAGGAAGUGUAAGGAGAUCACUAAGGGUCAAUGGUUG
Molecule: unclassified non-coding RNA, 629 nt
Filed under: Hevea brasiliensis (rubber tree)
Lineage: Eukaryota; Viridiplantae; Streptophyta; Magnoliopsida; Malpighiales; Euphorbiaceae
Source: RNAcentral